GACGAACGCUGGCGGCGUGCUUAACACAUGCAAGUCGAACGGAAAGGCCCUGCUUUUGUGGGGUGCUCGAGUGGCGAACGGGUGUGUAUCACGUGAGUAACCUGCCCUUGACUUUGGGAGACCUUCAGGAAACUGGGGCUAAUACCGGAUAUGAGCUCCUGCUGCAUGGUGGGGGUUGGAAAGUUUCGGCGGUUGGGGAUGGACUCGCGGCUUAUCAGCUUGUUGGUGGGGUAGUGGCUUACCAAGGCUCUGACGGGUAGCCGGCUUGAGAGGGUGACAGGCCACAUUGGGACUGAGAAGGGGCCAAGACUGCAACGGGAGGCAGCAGUGGAGAAUAGUGCACAAUGGGCGGAAGCCUGAUGCAGCAACGCCGCGUGCGGGAUGACGGCCUGCGGGGUGUAAACCGGUUGCGCGUGGGAAGAAGCGUGAGUGACGGUAAUGGGUAAAGAAGCACCGGCUAACUACGUG
Molecule: ribosomal RNA, 468 nt
Filed under: uncultured bacterium
Lineage: Bacteria
Description: partial 16S ribosomal RNA
Rfam family: Bacterial small subunit ribosomal RNA
Source: RNAcentral